AGCGUACACGGUGGAUGCCCUGGCAGUCAGAGGCGAUGAAGGACGUGCUAAUCUGCGAAAAGCGUCGGUAAGGUGAUAUGAACCGUUAUAGCCGGCGAUGUCCGAAUGGGGAAACCCAGUGUGAUUCGUCACACUAUCGUUAACUGAAUACAUAGGUUAACGAGGCGAACCGGGGGAACUGAAACAUCUAAGUACCCCGAGGAAAAGAAAUCAACCGAGAUUCCCCCAGUAGCGGCGAGCGAACGGGGAGCAGCCCAGAGUCUGAAUCAGCUUGUGUGUUAGUGGAACGGUCUGGAAAGUCCGACGGUACAGGGUGAUAGUCCCGUACACCAAAAUGCACAGGCUGUGAACUCGAAGAGUAGGGCGGGACACGUGGUAUCCUGUCUGAAUAUGGGGGGACCAUCCUCCAAGGCUAAAUACUCCUGACUGACCGAUAGUGAACCAGUACCGUGAGGGAAAGGCGAAAAGAACCCCGGCGAGGGGAGUGAAAAAGAACCUGAAACCGUGUACGUACAAGCAGUGGGAGCACCUUCGGGUGUGACUGCGUACCUUUUGUAUAAUGGGUCAGCGACUUAUAUUCUGUAGCAAGGUUAACCGUAUAGGGGAGCCGCAGGGAAACCGAGUCUUAACUGGGCGUUAAGUUGCAGGGUAUAGACCCGAAACCCGGUGAUCUAGCCAUGGGCAGGUUGAAGGUUGGGUAACACUAACUGGAGGACCGAACCGACUAAUGUUGAAAAAUUAGCGGAUGACUUGUGGCUGGGGGUGAAAGGCCAAUCAAACCGGGAGAUAGCUGGUUCUCCCCGAAAGCUAUUUAGGUAGCGCCUCGUGAACUCAUCUUCGGGGGUAGAGCACUGUUUCGGCUAGGGGGUCAUCCCGACUUACCAACCCGAUGCAAACUACGAAUACCGAAGAAUGUUAUCACGGGAGACACACGGCGGGUGCUAACGUCCGUCGUGAAGAGGGAAACAACCCAGACCGCCAGCUAAGGUCCCAAAGUCAUGGUUAAGUGGGAAACGAUGUGGGAAGGCACAGACAGCCAGGAUGUUGGCUUAGAAGCAGCCAUCAUUUAAAGAAAGCGUAAUAGCUCACUGGUCGAGUCGGCCUGCGCGGAAGAUGUAACGGGGCUAAACCAUGCACCGAAGCUGCGGCAGCGACACUAUGUGUUGUUGGGUAGGGGAGCGUUCUGUAAGCCUGCGAAGGUGACCUGUGAGGGUUGCUGGAGGUAUCAGAAGUGCGAAUGCUGACAUAAGUAACGAUAAAGCGGGUGAAAAGCCCGCUCGCCGGAAGACCAAGGGUUCCUGUCCAACGUUAAUCGGGGCAGGGUGAGUCGACCCCUAAGGCGAGGCCGAAAGGCGUAGUCGAUGGGAAACAGGUUAAUAUUCCUGUACUUGGUGUUACUGCGAAGGGGGGACGGAGAAGGCUAUGUUAGCCGGGCGACGGUUGUCCCGGUUUAAGCAUGUAGGCUGGUUGUCCAGGCAAAUCCGGAUAAUCAAGGCUGAGGUGUGAUGACGAGGCACUACGGUGCUGAAGUAACAAAUGCCCUGCUUCCAGGAAAAGCCUCUAAGCAUCAGGUAACAUCAAAUCGUACCCCAAACCGACACAGGUGGUCAGGUAGAGAAUACCAAGGCGCUUGAGAGAACUCGGGUGAAGGAACUAGGCAAAAUGGUGCCGUAACUUCGGGAGAAGGCACGCUGGUGUGUAGGUGAAGUCCCUGCGGAUGGAGCUGAGACCAGUCGAAGAUACCAGCUGGCUGCAACUGUUUAUUAAAAACACAGCACUGUGCAAACACGAAAGUGGACGUAUACGGUGUGACGCCUGCCCGGUGCCGGAAGGUUAAUUGAUGGGGUUAUCCGUAAGGAGAAGCUCUUGAUCGAAGCCCCGGUAAACGGCGGCCGUAACUAUAACGGUCCUAAGGUAGCGAAAUUCCUUGUCGGGUAAGUUCCGACCUGCACGAAUGGCGUAAUGAUGGCCAGGCUGUCUCCACCCGAGACUCAGUGAAAUUGAACUCGCUGUGAAGAUGCAGUGUACCCGCGGCAAGACGGAAAGACCCCGUGAACCUUUACUAUAGCUUGACACUGAACAUUGAGCCUUGAUGUGUAGGAUAGGUGGGAGGCUUUGAAGCGUGGACGCCAGUCUGCGUGGAGCCAACCUUGAAAUACCACCCUUUAAUGUUUGAUGUUCUAACGUUGGCCCCUUACCGGGGUUGCGGACAGUGUCUGGUGGGUAGUUUGACUGGGGCGGUCUCCUCCCAAAGCGUAACGGAGGAGCACGAAGGUUAGCUAAUCCUGGUCGGACAUCAGGAGGUUAGUGCAAUGGCAUAAGCUAGCUUGACUGCGAGCGUGACGGCGCGAGCAGGUGCGAAAGCAGGUCAUAGUGAUCCGGUGGUUCUGAAUGGAAGGGCCAUCGCUCAACGGAUAAAAGGUACUCCGGGGAUAACAGGCUGAUACCGCCCAAGAGUUCAUAUCGACGGCGGUGUUUGGCACCUCGAUGUCGGCUCAUCACAUCCUGGGGCUGAAGUAGGUCCCAAGGGUAUGGCUGUUCGCCAUUUAAAGUGGUACGCGAGCUGGGUUUAGAACGUCGUGAGACAGUUCGGUCCCUAUCUGCCGUGGGCGCUGGAGAAUUGAGGGGGGCUGCUCCUAGUACGAGAGGACCGGAGUGGACGCAUCACUGGUGUUCGGGUUGUCAUGCCAAUGGCACUGCCCGGUAGCUAAAUGCGGAAGAGAUAAGUGCUGAAAGCAUCUAAGCACGAAACUUGCCCCGAGAUGAGUUCU
RNAcentral lists this ribosomal RNA (2771 nucleotides) under Klebsiella pneumoniae. RNAcentral describes it as "bacterial LSU rRNA". It matches the Rfam family "Bacterial large subunit ribosomal RNA". The record is from RNAcentral. Lineage: Bacteria; Pseudomonadati; Pseudomonadota; Gammaproteobacteria; Enterobacterales; Enterobacteriaceae.